UAACAAGGAUUCCCCUAGUAACGGCGAGCGAAGCGGGAAGAGCUCAAAUUUGAAAGCUGACGUCUUCGGCGUCCACGUUGUAAUCUCGAGACGUGUUUUCCGUGCGGCUCUAUGGACAAGUCCCUUGGAACAGGGCAUCGUAGAGGGUGAAAAUCCCGUACUUGCCAUGGAAGUACCGUGCUUUGUGAUACACGCUCCAAGAGUCGAGUAGUUUGGGAUUGCUGCUCAAAGUGGGUGGUAGACUCCAUCUAAAGCUAAAUAUCGGGGAGAGACCGAUAGCGAACAAGUACCGUGAGGGAAAGAUGAAAAGCACUUUGGAAAGAGAGUUAAAAGUACGUGAAAUUGUCGAAAGGGAAGCACUUGAAGUCAGCCAUGCUGCUUGAGACUCAGCCUGGCUUUUGCUUGGUGUAUUUCUCGGUAGCAAGCCAGCAUUGGUUUGUGUCGUCGGAGAAGCGUAUGGGGAAUGUGGCAUCCUCGGAUGUGUUAUAGCCCUGUGCAGGAUACGACGACGUAGACCAAGGAACGCAGUGUGCCCUCUGGGCGGGUCUUCGGACACCUUCACACUUAGGAUGCUGGCGUAAU
Molecule: ribosomal RNA, 582 nt
Filed under: uncultured Malassezia
Lineage: Eukaryota; Fungi; Basidiomycota; Malasseziomycetes; Malasseziales; Malasseziaceae
Description: eukaryotic LSU rRNA
Rfam family: Eukaryotic large subunit ribosomal RNA
Source: RNAcentral